AGCAGUGCUUUACGUAGUAUAGUGCUUUUCACAUUACACAAAAAGUGAAAGGUGCCAUACUAUGUACAGGAAGGCUUA
RNAcentral lists this microRNA precursor (78 nucleotides) under Rattus norvegicus (Norway rat). RNAcentral describes it as "microRNA rno-mir-471 precursor". Its record names the gene rno-mir-471. The stretch from base 6 to 71 matches the Rfam family "mir-471 microRNA precursor family". The record is from miRBase by way of RNAcentral. Lineage: Eukaryota; Metazoa; Chordata; Mammalia; Rodentia; Muridae.